GGCGUCACUAUCAUUGAAGUUACUCAGUGGAAAGUUAACAGAAGUUAAUACAGGAGCUGCUAGAAUGUGGAAAAUGAACUCAGAACCUGUUAAGAUGAACGAGAUGAAGAGUGUGCUGGCUGGUUUAUGUCAACCUAACAAGAGCUAGAGUCAUCAGAGAGGAAGGAGCCUCAGCUGAGACAAUGCCUCCAUGAGAUCCAGCUGCCUCUGCAUCCGACUGGGUAUCCAGGUGUCCUGACUUCUUUGCUGAUGAACAUCGAAGUGGAGUGGAAGCCAAAUAAACCUUUUUCUCCUCAACUUA
Long non-coding RNA from Meriones unguiculatus (Mongolian gerbil), 301 nucleotides. RefSeq lists it as uncharacterized. NCBI's taxonomy places the organism in Eukaryota, Metazoa, Chordata, Mammalia, Rodentia, Muridae. The record is from RefSeq and is a predicted model, not a curated record. The transcript is spliced from 2 exons.